AAGAGAAACAAAACUCCAUCGUCAAGCAAAGAACCAGCCCAGAAUUGUGCAGCCCUUCAAGGACUCAGAUGCUGUGCACAUCCAAAUAACACUAAUCUCACCUCUCAAGAGAGGAAAUUGAGUCAAGGAGUCCAGGCCUUCAAAAUCCAGUGUAUAUUUUAUAU
Mustela erminea (ermine) is the source of this 164-nucleotide long non-coding RNA. RefSeq lists it as uncharacterized. The transcript has 3 exons. The record is from RefSeq and is a predicted model, not a curated record. Lineage: Eukaryota; Metazoa; Chordata; Mammalia; Carnivora; Mustelidae.